Molecule: unclassified non-coding RNA, 2140 nt
Filed under: Orbicella faveolata
Lineage: Eukaryota; Metazoa; Cnidaria; Anthozoa; Scleractinia; Merulinidae
Description: uncharacterized LOC110055517, transcript variant X2
Source: RNAcentral
UUACUCUCUGUACUAAAAGCUCCUGUCGCUUUUUUUCCUACUUAAAUCAACGGGAUUCACACGUCAAAUUAGCGUUAAGUGGAUUAUGGAAAUUGACCUUUCCAAAGCAAAGCACGCUUGGUUAAUAGACCAAGAAGGAGCGAGGAGAAGUUACAUUACGCGGCAGAGAUGUGGCGGAGACCUACAUGCCGGGUUCGUGAUGUUUUCAUGGGCGUGCUGAUUGGCUUGGGUGUAGCGGGACUUUUGGUUAAGUGGCAUAUCGACAAUGAUCACGACAAAAAAAUGUUGGUGAAGAGAUUCAACGAUGAUUUCCCAGAGCAAGAAGAUAAAGAUGAUUCUGAUACACAAGAAAGUGACCGAAGCGUCAUUUCUUCAGGAAAAGAUUUCCCGGAUCCUUCUUUUGUAUCUGAUAGACCAGCUGAUUCUUUUACAAGGGAAAAUGAACAACGCGCUUUUACUGAUAAAGCUGUACUUAAUGAAGACGUCAUUCCUUCAGGCGAAGAUUUGCUGGAACCUACUUUUGUAUUUAAUAAACCAGCUGAUACUUUUACCAAUGAAAAUAAACAAAGCACUUUAACUGAUAAAGCUGUUUUUAACGAAGACGUCAUUUCUUCAGGCGAGCCAAACUCACAGAGCAGUUUAUAUAAAGCUUAUAGUCACGUGCGAACCAUCUUGUUUUUCAUUGGCUACGAGCGUAGCCGUCACAGCCUUCUUGGUGCUUUACUGGAUGCUCAUCCACACAUGGUCGUAUCUGACGAGUCAAUGGCUUUUGGCAAGUGGAGAUCAAAUCAAAACAAAUGGAUGAACAGUUCCAUAUACUCAUUUUACGACAUAAUGGUCCAAACAUCGCAGCGUGACGUCACUAAAGGAAAAAGGUCUCAAGUAUUUGAAGGAAGUGUGGUGAACGCGACUUCUAGAUUUAAAUAUUUCGUUCCCAACCAAUGGCAAGGAAGCUUUGAUCGGUACAUUGAGGUGAGCAGAAACUGGUGCGUUACGCUUGCUAUAAUAAAAGGAUUCGGUGGGGUAUCUCAAGCAUCAGGCGCUAUGUAUGCUCCGGGAAUAUAGUGUUUCAGUUUCACUUUAUUAUUUUGCUACACAAAUAUUUUUACAAAUAUGUUCAGGGGAGUCUUUGUUUACAACAUUUACUUCAUCAACAAUGCGAUUCAAUUUCUGAUCAAGCUGGAAAACUAUCAGUUCUAAAUAUUGAAAGGGCAUACCACAGAUAACUGCCCCAAGGAAAUUUAGACCGAUGUAUUUAAUACUUUUUGUGCGACGCAUGUUUAAAAACUCAUCAGUGCUUUCGCCACCCAGAAAUUUCACAGCAUUCAAAAGCUAAUUUCCCCUUGAACAUUACACCCAGAAAGCCAAAAAUGUUACCCUUUACUAAGAUUCACAAGCUCUUCAAAUGUUUGAUGUCAACUAGUACUCAGCAUGCAUGAUGCCUUCUCUGCCCAAUGUCGUAUGAUAAAAAGGAAAAAUGUAGAAAGCGAUUUUUCUAAAAGCACCUUUUUUUUUUGUACUAAAAAGACAAUGUGAUCCUUGCGAAAUGAAAAGUUGCCGUAACUCAAACAAAGGAGGAACGUUAUAAGUAAUUUUCCUCUUCAAAGCGUUGGAGGCAUAUCUAAUUUGCUUCUUUGGGUUGUUUUGAUUAGACACUUCACAAUCAACUUUCUACUUCAUGUUGUGACAUAUAAGGCCUCUACAUUCUGCCGCCAACCAGCUCUGUGGGCUGCUGCAAAGCAUACGUCGUCCUAGGUCCUCCAUCCAGUUCGUUCCCCUUCCUUCUCCGCUGUCUUCCUCCAUGUUUUCUUGGGUCUACCCCUUCUUUCGGCCUCUUCUGGCGUCCAUGGUUUGAUCGAGCAGAUAAAUUUAAACCGCGUCUCAUUUUACGCCUUGCAAUCAUUACAAAAACUACUCUAUCCCAAGGUAAUGCUAAGCUGGCAGUUGUGUUCUCCACUUAAAUUUACAUAAAUAUGACAUUUUUUAAAAACAGUUCCCUGGUUCUCUAUGUUCUCCAAAAACUUUUUUUAUAGUAAUUAUUAAAACCUGGGAACUUCGUCUAUUUAAUAGUGGAGCUCCGGCGGCCCGAAGGGCCGCCAAGCCUAGCCCCAUACUCAUAUAGGAAAGAAAAGGAAAUCCA